RNAcentral lists this long non-coding RNA (4231 nucleotides) under Equus asinus (donkey). Its description in RNAcentral is "lncRNA (ENSEASG00005038380.1)". Lineage: Eukaryota; Metazoa; Chordata; Mammalia; Perissodactyla; Equidae. The record is from RNAcentral.
CAGCCCUUUUGAAGGUGCUACAAGCUGAUUUAGUGUGAUCCUGCCACACACUCCCUGGGUGAGCUCAGGCAAGUCCUUUUCCUUCUCUGGGCCUCAGUCUCUUCAUCUAUAAAAGAAGGGGGUUGGAAUAAUUCUGUGUUUCCCAAAAGUGUUGUCUGGGCUGCUAGUCUCAUGAAAUGCUUUUUCCACAUGGGUCUGGAGUUCAGUAUGCUUGGGGAAUGCUGCAUUCUCUAGCCCUAUUGGAAAUUCACAAUGCACCUUGGCAUGUCACGGGCUCUGGGAAGUCUGACAAUCAAGAAAGCUAACUUGCCUCCACUCAGCUUUACCCAAACUUUUGUCACCACACAACCCUUUUGGAGCUGAGCAUCUAUUAGAAUCUUGUGGAACCAACAUGUGGGGAACAUGCUUUGGGAAAUGCUGGAGUGGAUGGUCACCCAGGGCCUACCCUGCUCUGAUAGGUGGUGAUUCUGCUGAAGUUGCUAUUUGAGGGAAGAGGACAGCAUCUGUCUCAGGUCUGCAUCUGCCACAGUCGGUGUUCAGACAACAGGCAUUAAACAGGGGGUACAAAAGAGAUGGGUAAAUUGAAUUGAAAGCACGGCUAAUUUGGAUGCAGACAAUAGAUGCCUAGUCACGAGUGGAGAGCAGAUUGUUCCCAGAAACAAAUGAGUACAAGGCUUGAUGGGGAGAGCAUUGCUAACCACAGUAGUGAUGGGUACGUCUGUUAUCUAUGUUCCUGUGCUGCCGGCCAUGUCAGUUCAAGGCCAUUCUCAAUUGACUUUCCUCUGGGAAAGUUUACCUGGGGGCUCUGCGGGUAGAAGGAGGAGAAGCUUCCCCACUCAUGUUCCUUUCAUUGCACAUAAGGCAUUGCUGGCACUUCUAAAUGUCAAGUCUAAGUAGUUCUGCUAUUAAAUCAGCUCUUUUAUAUCUCUGGACCAUGUCCUGGACAAGGCAGAAGGCUUCGUGGCACUGGGCGUGGGGCCUGGCCUGCUAUAUUCCUCAGCUGGGCCUUGCAUUAGCACUGAUUGCUGGCAAAGCUGUCAGCCCAGGACUGUGUUUUUCUAAUCAAGAAGGCCGAUUUAGCUCUUGGGAAAGACUGGUCAGCUGGGCCAUGUUACUUUCUUCUCCUGGUAGCAAUAAUACAGGCAAAGACAGCAGAAGCUUCUGUAAAUAGUUUUUCAGGCAGCCACAAAUCACUGAGGCCCUCUCCUCUCCAGCCACUUGGAGGUUGCUCACUGGGGUUCACCUACAAAUCUUCCUGCCCUGGGGCUGGUGGGAGAGACUGGAUCCUCUUGCCUGCUGGUGUCUCCUAGCACCUCUCACUACUGGGGAGAGAGGGGACAAAAAGCAUUUCCCAAUCCCCUAGGCAGGAAGACUAGGGUUUUGUUUACUCUAUCAGAGUCCCUCUUAGGAAAUAUUUCACUUUCUACCUUGUUUUAGUAAUACAAUGUCACUACUAGUACCUGAGAUUUGUUGAACACUUACUUUACUACAUGCCAGGGACUGUGCUGCAUCCUUUCCAUGCACUGGCUCAUUAACUCCUCAUAAUAACACAACAGGAGUUGAUACUAAUAUUACCCCUAUUUUUUAGGUGGUGAAACCAGGGCAAAACAAAAAAAAAGAUAUAAAUUAACUUGCUCAAGGCCACGCAGCAAGGAGAUGGCAAAGCUGGGAUUCCCAAUCCAAGUCAGCCUGGUCUGCAAUGCACCUGCUCUUGACCAUGACACCACGUUGCAUCCCUGUUAGUUGUUUACUUGUUUGGCUCUACCAGAGAUGGAGGGCUCUUUGAAGGCAAAUGUUCAUGGCAGGACCUGGCACAUAGUGGGUCCUGAGGGGAGCGUGGUAGUCAGUGCAAGGCUGCCUGCAUCUGAACAUUGUGGUUCACUUGUCAAGAGUGAAGGGGAAAGUCCUCUGCCAUGUAGGGUCAGAGAAAGAAACGCAUCUGCUCCUUACUCCCCAAGCCUGACAUCCCCCAAAGAUAAUUACUGUGGACUCUCAGCUGUUGGAGAUCAGAGCCUAUUCCACAUCAGCUUGGUCUGUUUCCCAAAACAAGUUUGCAUUGUUUUGAAACCAUGGUGCAGGGCACCCAGAGAGCAAAUAGAAGUUGAUCCCCACACAACAGGCAGUAACUAAGGCACCAAGAGUGCGUGGGACAGCUUUGGGGGUGAAGGAGAAGGCUAUGUAGUGCUGAGGGUAUGCACAUUUCAGAAAGGGGCCCACCCCUGCAGAAGACGGUUCGGUCAACUGAAGCAGGGGCCCUGGGGCUGUUCCUGCCCUUUAACUCAAUAAUCGUCACUCCUGAGAUUUUAUUCCUCAGGAAGCAUUUCAACAGAAUUGCAAAGAUACAUGCAUGAAGAUGUUCAUUAUGAGAUUGGCUGUAGUAAUAUAACACUGGGAACAAAUGAAUUGCCCAGCAAUAAGGGUGGUUAAUUAAAUUAUGGCAUAUCCAUUCCAUUGCAUAUUAUGAGGCCAUUUACUAUGCUUAUCCUGAAACCUGCAGCAGCCUGAGGAAUACAUGGAACAGAAGGUUUGUAAAGGAAGAGGUGCAAUGUAUUUACAUUGUGAUUUUGCAACUUACAAACUUUCUGUGCAGUAUAUACCCAGAUAUAAAGAACUGUGUCAGGGUGAUGAGAUUUGGUGAUUUCUUUUUAAAAAAUUUCUUGAUCAUUGUUAUACUGUUUUCACAUUUCCAAAUGUAAUUGUGUAUGUGUGUGCAUGUGCACGUGCGUGUGUGUGUGUGUGUGUGUGUGUGUGUGUGUGUUGGAAGAAUCAGCACAUAAUUUCACCCCCAAAUUAAUUCUAUUUGCAGUGAAUUCCCACAUCUACUUGAGAAUGAAAGUAUAUAUAUGGGGAACGGGGACAAGAAGAAAACAGGUGCUGGUGCUAUUUGAUGCAUGAUCAGGACCAUGACAUGUUAUUAAAAAGAAGCCUGGAUCCUUCCAUGGUACAGCUGGCUAUUCAUGAAACUUUGAAAUGGAUAAGGCUGUAGCAUCUGGUCCAUUGUUGCCAUUCCUAUAUUGCCAGCCAGCCUUCAUCUUAAGACUUGAAUUUGCAAGUGGUUCCUGCCUAUCAGUGAACAGGGAUGAAUCCAGAACCUUUUUCUCAGAUGAACAAAAGGAAGUGGGCACUCUUCCCCAAAUGGGAGAAAGAAGCUUAUCCCAAGUUCCAAGCUUGAAUGUCCAUUGGUCUUAUCAGGGCAACUGCAGACAGAAAUCUCCCAACCCCCACUACCAGACAGCAUCCCCUUUAGCCCAGAGAUAGCAGACUAUGUGACAGAACAGUUUUUGGAGGCAGCAGUGGUGACCCCCAUCUCAUGCACCCACCUUUGGUGCUGAUGUUCUGCUUGGCCUGGCAAAUAUCAGCUUUGUGUCACUUCCCCCCACUUCUAAGCCUGACACAUGGGUAAUUACACAUCAGGACUGUGUACGGUGAAAUUAGCAGAGGUUCAAAGCAUUUGGCUUUCAUAUCUCCCUACUUCCCCAUUCCUGCUACCCCCUUCAUAAUUGUCACCUUUUCAGAUAUUCAGCUUGGAACAGCUGGCACACAGCCCUUGUAUUGCCAUGCAGAUGCACACCCAGAGCCAAUUAAACACAAAGAUGACCAGAUGUGGGGGGAACGAUUGGCUGCCGCAUCAGGUAAUCCCUUCACAUGUAUGCCCUGAUCAAUACUCUACCAAAUACUCAAAGGACACCUUCAGGAGAUCUCUGGAGCAGUGUCUCUUUUCAGCUCUCCAGUACUCUGUCCUGUGAAAUUUAGCCUCCUUGGCCUUCCUGUAUUCCCAGCUCUGCUUCCUCAGCACAGAGAAAACACCAAGCUCUUGCCUGGACUUUCCCUCCUUGAAAUCUCUCUCUAGGCAAUAAACUGGAGCAAUUGUAGCACUCACCUCAUUUGUUUCUCGUCUCUAUCUUUCACUACCUGAAGUCCAGCAUCUUGCAAAAUAUUGACUUUUUAUAUAUUAUCUGUUGAUUAUUUCAAGAAGAAAGGUAAAUUCAAUUCCUGUUACUUCAUCUUGACCAGAAGCAGAAGGCUACACUCCUUUAAAAACUUCCUAGUCCUCGGGGCUGGCCCCGUGGCCGAGUGGUUAAGUUCGCGCAAUCUGCAGCAGGCGGCCCAGUGUUUCGUUAGUUCGAAUCCUGGGCGCGGACAUGGCACUGCUCAUCAGACCACGCUGAGGCAGCGUCCCACAUGCCACAACUAGAAGAAUCCCCAACGAAGAAUACACAACUAUGUACCG